Molecule: ribosomal RNA, 263 nt
Filed under: uncultured bacterium
Lineage: Bacteria
Description: partial 16S ribosomal RNA
Rfam family: Bacterial small subunit ribosomal RNA
Source: RNAcentral
GUCCACGCCGUAAACGAUGUCAACUAGUCGUCGGGGCCUUCGGGUCUUGGUGGCGCAGCUAACGCGUGAAGUUGACCGCCUGGGGAGUACGGCCGCAAGGUUAAAACUCAAAUGAAUUGACGGGGGCCCCGCACAAGCGGUGGAGCAUGUGGUUUAAUUCGAUGCAACGCGAACAACCUUACCUACCCUUGACAUCCUCGGAACUUGGCAGAGAUGCCUUGGUGCCUUCGGGAACCGAGAGACAGGUGCUGCAUGGCUGUCGU